This 77-nucleotide transfer RNA is filed under the name Actinomycetes bacterium. RNAcentral's name for it is "Actinobacteria bacterium (soil metagenome) tRNA-OTHER". The record is from RNAcentral. Lineage: Bacteria; Bacillati; Actinomycetota; Actinomycetes.
GGGAUGCCGGUGCGAAGGCACGGGCUACUUCCACUCGAAAUGGGGUUGUCGUCGGUUCGAAUCCGGCCGUCUCGCCA